UCCUAAAUGUGUUGACCGCAUCUUUUAUUAUCGUAUAGAUUUCAAUCGUGGGGUUUGGAUUGAGAGUUUGAGAUUGGCGCUUCUCUCACAAUAGUGUGAGUAGUUGAGUUCGUUACUUAGCACACAACACAACCAAACCCUAAAACACUUGCAGAAAAUGGAAGAAAACGACAGAAGAAUCCUCGAGAGGGAGAUGUAUCAAAUCGAGCAGAUUCGCCAGCUCGAUCUCGAGGAAUUGCAGGUCGAAGAGGUUGACGAUUUCCAAAAUUCUUCCGACGACGACGAUAACAACAACCACCGUGAUCCUACUCAUGGCUAUGACAGCACAGGCAUCCUGGGUGAAUUCACUUACAAUAUUUGUGUAGCAUCCUUACAUUCAUAUCUGGGUGAUGUUGAAGACACACACCACAGGACAGCUUUCUUGGAUGGUGGGGCUGUAUUGAACCUUCCACUUUUCUGUCUUCAAGGAGUUGUACUCUUUCCUGGGGCUACUCUUCCCCUGAGAGUUAUUGAAUCCAAUUUUGUGGCUGCUGUUGAGAGAUCUUUGAGUCGAGUUGACGUUCCUUACACCAUUGGUGUGAUUCGAGUUUACAGUGAUACUGCAAAUCAUAGCAUGAAAUCCGCAAGCAUUGGGACAACUGCAGAGGAGUUGUACUCUUUCCUGGGGUUACUCUUCCCCUGAGAGUUAUUGAAUCCAAUUUUGUGGCUGCUGUUGAGAGAUCUUUGAGUCGAGUUGAUGUUCCUUACACCAUUGGUGUGGUAGAUUCGAGUUUACAGUGAUACUGCAAAUCAUAGCAUGAAAUCCGCAAGCAUUGGGACAACUGCAGAGAUUCGACAAUAUGGGCGCCUAGAGGAUGGUUCCCUGAAUGUGGUUACUCGUGGACAGCAGCGAUUUCGCUUAAGACGGUGUUGGAUCGACGUGGAAGGAGUGGUUAGAAUAUUUUCAUGUUUACUGCUUUUUUUAUAAAAAUUAAUCUUCGCAAACAUUUGUAUAAAGAACAAUGAACUGUUACACUUUGUUGAAUUUAAUUAAUCAUUCAUUGAAUAUAA
Molecule: RNA transcript, 1050 nt
Organism: Cicer arietinum (chickpea)
Lineage: Eukaryota; Viridiplantae; Streptophyta; Magnoliopsida; Fabales; Fabaceae
Source: RefSeq, a predicted model, not a curated record